RNAcentral lists this ribosomal RNA (251 nucleotides) under uncultured bacterium. Its description in RNAcentral is "partial 16S ribosomal RNA". It matches the Rfam family "Bacterial small subunit ribosomal RNA", at positions 524 to 776 of the family's 1533-position model. The record is from RNAcentral.
UACGUAGGGGGCGAGCGUUGUCCGGAAUCAUUGGGCGUAAAGCGCGUGUAGGCGGCCCGGUAAGUCCGCUGUGAAAGUCCAGGGCUCAACCCUGGGAUGCCGGUGGAUACUGUCGGGCUCGAGUCCGGAAGAGGCGAGUGGAAUUCCUGGUGUAGCGGUGAAAUGCGCAGAUAUCAGGAGGAACACCAAUGGCGAAGGCAGCUCGCUGGACGGUACUGACGCUAAGGCGCGAAAGCGUGGGAGCGAACGAG